UUACUCUGGUUUCUCUUCAUAACGUACAAGUCUUUCGCCUUUUGACUAAAGACUUCCGUGGGAGAGUGACUCCAACGAGUUUAUUCCUAUUUUUGGCAGGGCUUUGCCGUCUGGCAGAG
This is a small nuclear RNA of Acanthochromis polyacanthus (spiny chromis), 119 nucleotides long. RefSeq annotates it as U5 spliceosomal RNA. The transcript has a single exon. Lineage: Eukaryota; Metazoa; Chordata; Actinopteri; Pomacentridae. The record is from RefSeq and is a predicted model, not a curated record.